UACGGAGGGUGCAAACGUUGUCCGGAAUCACUGGGCGUAAAGCGCAUGUAGGUGGUUUAGUAAGUGGAAGAUUAAAGACCGAUGCUUAACAUCGGACCGGUUUUCCAUACUGCUAGACUGGAGUAUGGCAGGGGUAAGCGGAACUUUAGGUGUAGGAGUGAAAUCCGUAGAGAUCGGGAGGAACACCAGAGGCGAAGGCGGCGACCUGGACAGGUACUGACACUCAACUACGAAAGCGUGGGGAGCAAACAGG
RNAcentral lists this ribosomal RNA (253 nucleotides) under uncultured bacterium. RNAcentral's name for it is "partial 16S ribosomal RNA". It matches the Rfam family "Bacterial small subunit ribosomal RNA", at positions 524 to 776 of the family's 1533-position model. The record is from RNAcentral.